GGAGGGUGCAAGCGUUGUUCGGAAUUAUUGGGCGUAAAGAGCGUGUAGGCGGUCCGGUAAGUCAGAUGUGAAAGCCCUGGGCUCAACCCAGGAAGUGCAUUUGAAACUACCAGACUUGAGUACGGGAGAGGAGGGGGGAAUUCCCGGUGUAGAGGUGAAAUUCGUAGAUAUCGGGAGGAAUACCAGUGGCGAAGGCGCCCUCUGGACCGAUACUGACGCUGAGACGCGAAAGCGUGGGGAGCAAACAGGAUUAGAUACCCUGGUAGUCCACGCCGUAAACGAUGAGCACUAGGUGUAGCGGGUAUUGACCCCCCUGCUGUGCCCGUAGCUAACACAUUAAGUGCUCCGCCUGGGGACUACGGUCGCAAGACUA
RNAcentral lists this ribosomal RNA (373 nucleotides) under uncultured organism. RNAcentral's name for it is "partial 16S ribosomal RNA". It matches the Rfam family "Bacterial small subunit ribosomal RNA", at positions 527 to 896 of the family's 1533-position model. The record is from RNAcentral.